This 478-nucleotide ribosomal RNA is filed under the name uncultured bacterium. RNAcentral describes it as "partial 16S ribosomal RNA". It matches the Rfam family "Bacterial small subunit ribosomal RNA", at positions 28 to 506 of the family's 1533-position model. The record is from RNAcentral.
GAUGAACGCUGGCGGCGUGCUUAACACAUGCAAGUCGAACGAAGCACCUUGAUUUGAUUCUUCGGAUGAAGAUCUUGGUGACUGAGUGGCGGACGGGUGAGUAACGCGUGGGUAACCUGCCUCAUACAGGGGGAUAACAGUUAGAAAUGACUGCUAAUACCGCAUAAGACCACAGCACCGCAUGGUGCAGGGGUAAAAACUCCGGUGGUAUGAGAUGGACCCGCGUCUGAUUAGGUAGUUGGUGGGGUAACGGCCUACCAAGCCGACGAUCAGUAGCCGACCUGAGAGGGUGACCGGCCAAAUUGGGACUGAGACACGGCCCAAACUCCUACGGGAGGCAGCAGUGGGGAAUAUUGCACAAUGGGGGAAACCCUGAUGCAGCGACGCCGCGUGAGCGAUGAAGUAUUUCGGUAUGUAAAGCUCUAUCAGCAGGGAAGAAAAUGACGGUACCUGACUAAGAAGCACCGGCUAAAUACGU